CAAAACUUCUCCAGAAUAACUUCAAUCUAAAACAUAUCAAGUUUAAAACAAAAUUAUUAUGGCAGUGCCAUUUUGAAUAAAAUUAGUUUUAAUCUAUUGGCUAAAAAAAUGUGUGAAAGAGCCAACAGUCUCUAGUUCGUAGCUUUGUCCAUUCCACUUCUCCGCACUCCUUUCAACGGUGACCUCAUCACGUUCUGUGCAGCCAACAGGAGAUGGCAGCAUUGCUUCAGCCAUUGGAAAGACCCUGCGCCCGAUCCCUUCUUCAAAGAGAAGGCUGGGAGCUGGUGGGGAGCAGAGUUACAGCAGCAGAAAAUGUAACCAGCUAUUUGAAGAGUACCUGGAAAAUCAACAUUUAAUGGAUUUAUGAAAAAAGAGGAGAAAAUGAAGAUCUAAAUAGGCAAGUUUUCUUGCUACCUAUGUUCGGUCUUUACCCUGGUUAAAAAGGAAAAGAUUCAAUAGAUUAUGUUAAAUUGGAGAGUUGCGUUCCAGCCUUUCCUUUGGUUUUAAAAUUCUGUAUUCUUAGAAAUCUUGUUCAGGAGCUAUUUCCCAAAACCCUACCUUUAAAAUAUGGAUUUCUAUUGCUCAUUUUCAUUAACCUUUGAGCUUUAAUUUUCUCAUGCAUGCAUAUGAUAUGCUUGGGCAAUGGUUACUUUUUUAUUUUUUAUUUUUCUAUUUUGAGAAAGCAACCCCUCCAUAAUGGCAUAAGUUUGACUUGUGUGUACUAACCAGAACAUUUUAUUAAUAUGCUAACUCUUUUUCCAUUAAAAUCCUAAGUUAAUGAAUACAUAAAUACAACUAUUAUGGGUUCCCCAGAGACCCAAAGGUGAACGUGAAAUGUAGUCUACCAAUUGGCAGCUUAUAUCACUGCCUGGGUUACUGUAUCAGAAAUAAUGAAAACCAUAGAUGUUUAAUCAUAAUGCAGUCAGAGGUUUACGCUGGCCUCCUAAACAGAAGGAAGGAAGAUCUGAUUUUAAAUGCUGUUUCACCUUUCUUUUUCAAUAUGCUGGAUCUCCUCACUAAAUUGUGAACAAAGACGCUGGUAUUAAUUUUCAUCCCUUUUGACAUACUAAGGACUUUAAAGUGGGAUUUGACAGAGAGUUUUGGUGUGUUUGUAGGGCCAACCGCCGGGCAUCAGAUUGGUUAGUAAAGGUUGUUAUGGUGUGCGUACCAAUCCAUUUGGAAAGCAUUAACUCAGAGAGGGGAAUGCAAUGGCUUAAAUAUAUAUAUGUAUAUAUAGUGUUGUUCAGCCCACACCCACGGAGGGUAUGAAUCCUAGCUCUGCCAGUUAGUGAUUGUGAGACCCUAGAGAAGUCAUUUAGCUUAUAUAAAUUACAAUUCUUUUUCUCUAAAAUAGGAAUACUAAUACUGUCUUAGAGGUUUUUUUGUGGAGAUUAACUGAGAUAAUAUGUCUAAAGUGCUCAGCCCAGUGUCCAGAACAUAAAUCGUAGUGGUUAUUAUGAUCAUGAUGCAGAAUUAUCACAGUAGAUUUAAAUAUGUAUAAAUAUAUAAAAUACAGAUUACUUUUUCUUUGCAAAGCUCGAACCUUUAUAAAGAUAGUUUUAAGAUCUGUUAAAAACUCGGAUAUCCUCCAAGGAAUAGCUUAUAACUUUUAGUUACAUGGUGCUUGAGACAGUAUAUUUGUGUAACCUUCUCAGAAAAGUUUUAUAAAUGGCUUUCAUAGGCCAUAGACUUUAUUAGGGUCCCAGUCCUGAGGGUUUCAUAGAAGCUGUUCUAAAGAUUCUUUAGAAAGAUUGUAGGAAACUGUUCUGCCCAAUGGGAGUUUACGUCUGUUCAGACGCCUGCUCUUGGCUUCAGCUCUCGACUGUGGCUUUGUGCCUCCACAGACAGCAUGCACGUUAACAGCAUUGGCUGUAGACGUUUAGAGUCGUUACUCUGAACAGCAUUUCCCAAACAGGACAUUCAGUUUUGCACACCACUUACAUACUGGAAGUUUAACACAAUGUGUUACUUUUUGUUUCUGUAGAAAUUUUUGUCAUCUAAGGAAAUAAAUGAGUUUAAAUAUUUCCAAAACUAGGCCUUCUGCCUAGAAAACUCUUUCAGAUUUGAUCUUUUGUAUUUUCUUUCAACUACACUUUAGGUUUGUGAACAGAGGUCAGAUUAUCUUGUCCCUCAUCCUGCAUUCUUCUCCGCCAGUCCCUGCUCACCCCCUCCAGCCCCUCAUUUGCACUGUCUGUACCAGCUUAUAGAUUGCAUACCUGAUUAAGAACUUCUUGAAGGUAGGGAACAUUCUCUUUAUAUGCUUUCUCCAAUGCCUAAUAGGAUGUUUUGUUCAAAAGGUGCUUAAAAAAAUGAGGACAUGAAUAUAACUGUGGUCGUGUUGUGUAUAUUCGGAUGCAGGCACUGUCAACUAUGAUGAGGCUAAAGUGGAGGCUUUUUAUUCUCGAAGGAUGACAGUUGAAUACUAUGACAGGGAUCACGUAUGCUACACAUUGAACAAAAACAGUCUUUUUCCCAUUAUAAUUUAGGCUAAUCUAUGAAAGAAUUAAAUAAUACAGAAAGCUAGUUUACUUCAGUAUGUUGAUAACAAGUUACUACAAGGGGUGAAAUAGGCUGAAAAGAGUAAGCUUGGAUAAAUGUAGAGGCAAGAUGUAGAAUGGAUAGUCAAGGGAAGCUGCAUGUUUUGAGUAAAUCUCUGAACUUUGAAGCUAAUGUGAGUAGCUGCCGUCUUGGCGUCUUUGCCUUGAUUGAGCCAUUCUAUUGGACUGGCAGGGCCCUGAUCUUGACAGUAGGGCAGUUCUCAUGCUCACAGAGAGUGUAAUGUAUCAGUUUUAAUUUUGUAAUUAUUUUAUCUUUGUUCCCAGCACCCUUCAUCAUCCUCACCUAGCAAAACCCCAACCUGGUUAGUACAAUACUUCUCCUGGUCCAUUCCUGCAUGCACACAGCUGAGUACCAUUGCAGAAAAGCAUGCAACCAGACCAACUGGCUUCAUGUUGACUAUAUAGGAUGCAGGUAGGAGGUUAGAAGUCGUGGUGGCCAAUUGAUGUUCCUUUCUGAUUGUGUCUACUUUCUUUCAGUGAGAUAAGGAAAUGAGGUCACCAACCAGGAUCAGGAUGAGGAAGGAGGUGAUGGAGAUUUGAGUUGCUGUCAUCUCCCACCUGGAUGGCUGCAGCAGCCCUGUAACCAGUGUCCCUGUGACGUCAGCAGUCUUUUCUCCCAAGCAGCAGCCACAGGGAGGUCAGGGAGGACUUCCUGAAGAAGUAAUUCUCGAACCAAGAUAGGGAAGAAGAGGAGGAGAAGCUGAAUACGCCAAGAGGAGAGAAGAUCCUUCCAGGCAAAGGGAAAUACACCUUCCUGUGGGUGGAAGCGUGGUGAGAGCAAGGGACUAAGGAAGGCCUCAUUCCCUUGUAUCGGACACCUCCCUGAUGGCUGACAUGAGGGCCACCAGGAACGCAGGCUCAGUUCAACACACUGAUGACCGUGAAGUUACUGUGUUAGUCUUUCUGGUCCCAAGUUCAGAAAUUCCAGGGAAAGACUUUGAUGAACCCUCUUGGGUCAGGGGACUAGUUGGAGGGGUGGAGCAGCAUGCCUGGGCCAGCUUGGGUCACUUCCUCACCCUGAGACAAAUCCCUGUGGCCAGAGAGGUGAGAUCUCUAAAAAGAUGGCAGCUACCUCCAAAUCCCCCUUCAAACGUGGAGAGGCACAUUUCCCCCGGAGAACAUGAGGAUGCUCCACUGACUAGACAAGGCACUAGAUGCCCACUGUAGUGACUGAGCAGGAGGGGCUUUUUGUGGUCCAAGAAUUAAGAGGUUGGAGACAUAGUGUUCGGAGAAGCAAGAUGACACCACGUUGGAACUUUGGGAAGAAAAAACCUUAGGAAAAACUUCCUGUAUCAGGAAGUGGCAAGUAAACUGUGAGUAGUGAUAUUUUAGUCAGUUUUAAGUUGAAUAAAUGCCCUGUGCGGUUCCCAGGGAAAGCUGUUGCCUGUGAAAGCUUUGUGUUAAUGGGGCCUGAUCCAAUUAACAAGACGGGCCGUGUCCUCUUCAAGGAGAAGAAGUUUAAUAGAAGAUAGAAACCUGCAGGAGCAGUUGUUCCAUGAUGGAUGGUGACUGCCAACUGAACUGGGAGUUAUAGUUUUUCAGAAAGAAAAAAAGAAGGAAGGUGAUAGGUGAGCAUCAGGAAAAUGCUAGCACCAUUUUCCUUUCCGAUCUCAGCAUCAUCUCGCACUGGUGCUCAGUCCUUCCUAUUUGUCUCUCUACAUCCAUUUUACACCAUCAUCCCAGUUUGUGGAGAGACUGACCUGAAUGAACUGUGUUCAUGAGCAUCCUUGUGUGCUACCCAUGAGAUGACCAGCAGCGUGGGGAGGAGGUGAGGCAGGGUGUUUAGUCCGGGGCUCCCUGUUGGUUCACCCUGGUCCUGUAGAACGACAGGGCAGCAUCUGCUCUCUCCAGGGGUAGUGACAGCUUUCUGCUAUUGUUGGUCCUGAGAUCCUCCUCCAUUCCUUACUUCUCCAAACUCUGCUCACUCUUUUUGUGAACAAUCCCCUUGUUAAACUCUAUUCAAUUUCCCAGUCUGAGUGCACAAUUUAUUUCCUGCUGGGACUCAGGCUGAUAUAAGGACGUGGGGUAUUCUAACUGAACAAUUUUAGGGAGCUAAAGAAGAUAGGGGUGAUUGCAGACUGUUUUGUGGAGUUUGUGUAGAGGCACAAAGACAAAUCUGAGGAGACUGAAGUUAUACCGCAAAACGCCCCACAGAGAACACGCACUCACUGAAACCAGAUGUCUGCAACAGUCAGAGAAGGAAGCAGCCUGAUGCCAAAUGGUCCACAUCCAGGUGAUCAUCACAAAGGUAGAAACAUGAAUUAGAAUACAUUUUGGAGAAGUUUGCAAACGGAUGAUGCCCUUUCUGCAUUAUUGAACUCUAGCCAGUCAAAGGUUCACAGAAAGGUGAUGAUAAUAAUGCACUUUUUCUCUAUUUCUUUGGCGUGUACACCCUCCAGCUUUAAUGUCUCCUUUGUUGUAACAUUUAUUUGGCAUGUCCUGUGAUCCUUGCAUGAUAUUGAUCUAUAAAAUUGGAUGAACAAACAGGCCACCAGUUCACCUGUAUCGAAAUAGCUCUAAAGGGGAAGACAUCUGGGUGGAUAGAUGAGACGGCACUUACGCAGCCAGAGGAACCCAAAAUAAACAGAAGGAAAAAAAAUAAACCUGAGAUGCCGCAGAAUUCGGGAAGCAAUUUAUAUACUAACUCUAUGACGGUGGAGGAACUUUCAGGAGAAAAAGUCUGACAUUAACCUACGAUGGAGACAGCAGGCUGCACUCAGUGAUCGGUAGGCACAGUUUUUGAAAUGAGUGUGCGUUGCACUUGCACUUGCAUUUGUGAGUGUGCACAAUGCUCAUAGAUAGAAGAGAAAGAGCAAGUUAUGGUUCCUUGUUAUGAUCUUAGCUUAGUGCAUCACCUGACAAAGGGCUUUGCAUAUUGAAAAUGUAAGCAUUAGUUGAACAAAUGAACAGAAAUGUCUGCUGAAAAAUGAGCACAAACCACCAGCAUGUUAAUAAAUGAACACUUUUGUUCUCAGUGUAAUGUUCUGCUUGUUUAACUGAUUGUUGUUUUGAUUGCAAUCUCUUCACUGACGAUAGUAUUGAUAAACCUAUCAAAGAGAUAUAUUGAGUGUCUGUUUACUGAAAGUAAAUUGCUGGGAUUUCAAACACCUUUUGGAUCUACUCCUAAAGGAGUUAUAAAACAUCUCUUAAUUUGUUAAUCAUUAAUAUUUGGCCCCUGUGACUUGUGUGUGUAAAUAUACACAGUAGAUGCUCAUUUUGUCAAGUUGUUUCUGACUCAGAUGCUGUGUUUCCUUGGCCACUUCUAACCUGAGCAAAAGUGUGGGUGACAGAGUAGUGAAAAUCCAGAGUCUCCAUCACGAGUCUCCAUCACAUGAACAAGUAGAAGAUGUGUCCCCACAUGGAGGCUUACUGCCAUCGUCUUUAUGUAUUUAUGAAUUUGCAUAGUAACGAAUGCCCUUUUAGGUUGAAUUAUUAGAAUUUUAUCAAUGCCUCGAUCGUUACUUCAAAAACUAAUUUUGUGCCAUCUGUGUUCAUUGGAUGAGAGGAAAAAGGAGAAAAUAUAUUUCAUAUGUCAGACUCCUACAUAAAUGUAGGUGCAGCUUUGACUUGAGAUGCAACACUGGGCUGCUAUGGAAUUUUUACAUGCUGUGUAAUAAAAGUCUGCAAUCUGAUACCUCACACAUCUCCAUUAACCUCCGACAUUGAAUUUGUUCGAUUCUGAUUGUUUUUUCAUUGAUACAAGUGUUUGGUGAGGAAUUAGGAGCUUUCCUUCACAAAUGUUUUGUUUGAUUUACAGCAUUUUGGGCUGUGAUAUUCCUGGUUAGAAUACUUUACUGUUGAAUUCUUUAAAAAAAAAAAUCAGUGGAACUCCCAGAGGAUAAUGUGCAUCAGUUCUAUGUUAAAUUCUUUGUUCAGACUUAUUAUUUCAGCCUCCAAAAUGUGUUUUCACUAACAUAAUAGCGUGAUAAAUGCAAAAAGUGUGUGCGCAGCUUUAAACAUUUGGAAAUGCUUCUAAAGGUCGCUUUUCUACUGGGCAGCUUACUUUUUCUAUAAAGCUGUUUCUGUUCCAUACCCUACUGUCCCAAGGUUUCCAAAAGUUGAACAUGAACUCUGGAGGAAUUCUCCUUUGGACUUAAAAACUGGAGUUGCCUGGCAGACAGUUUUUAUUCUUGUCUGACUGAGUUCCCCAGCUUUCUCCCUUCUUGUGUCCUUGGACAUCAGUUUCACUUGUUUUCCUUUGAAUGGGUCAGAGUGGUUUCUCAACUUACAGUACAUAAACCUCCCAGCUAAGUGUCAUGUUCGUCCUGGACUGUCCAUGCUGCUCCACUCUCCUGUUUAACCUUCCUCAUCACCUCCUCUCCUCCAGCACUUAGUAGACAUGAACCAUCAAAAUUCAAUGCCACCACCAAAACAGCCUACAUCACGAAGACAGUCUACCCCUUUACACCCGUAUCUGCUCUUCCCGAGCUGGCAGCCAGUAGCCACAUGUGGCUGUUCAGCACCUGCCGUGGAGCUAGUCCAAAUUGAGAUGGGCUGUAAGUGUGAAGCAUGUACCAGAUUUCCAAGACUUAGUGCAAAUAAAAAGGAUGUAAACAUCUUAUUAAUAAUUUUUACAUUGAUUACAUGUUGAAAUGGUGAUAUUUUAAGCUUGUUGGUUUAAAUAUAAUGUUUCAUUAAGAAAUUAAAAU
Long non-coding RNA from Equus caballus (horse), 7207 nucleotides. NCBI's taxonomy places the organism in Eukaryota, Metazoa, Chordata, Mammalia, Perissodactyla, Equidae. The record is from Ensembl.